UCACCUGCCUGUGCUCACAGGGCCCAGUGCUGAGCAGACCAGCAAAGAUGAGUCUUCAGUCUGGGGGCCACAGUGCCUCUGGCCCAGCCCUUCCAUAGUUCCCAACUGGCCCGAAACUCAAAGGCACAGCUGACGGGCCUUUCAGAACCAGCCUUUUCAGCCCAGUCCUGCAUCUGUCCAACACCUGGGUGCCCCCAGGGCGGCUCAGCGAGGGGCUCACUACUAUGACUGUGCCACUGCACUCCAGCCUGGGCGACACAGCGAGACUCGCAGGAAAAAAAAAGAGAUUAGUUGACUUGAAUGAGGUUAACCCUUGGCCUGGUGUCAGCGAUGAGCACGUGGAUUUGUGUUCAGCUGAACUGCAUGUGGACCAAUCACCUUAAAAACGCCAUCUGUGGCCUUGCAGCUGGAACCACCAUCUUCCAGUAAUUCGCCCAAAUGACAAACACAAAGAGAAAGAGGAGAGGCACCCGAUACACGUUCUCCGGCUUUUUAGAAAACAGUUGUUCCUCUGGCCACGUAUAUGCGAAUCUGUAAGAAAGCUGAUACUGCAGACAUCAAGGGAAUGGGUACUGUUCAAAAAGGAAGCCCCACAAGUGCUGCCAUGGCUGAACUGGGGAGUCUGCAGUGUUCCCCAGCACGCUGCUGGCGUUGUUGUAAACAAACAAGGGCAAGAUUCUUGCUGAGAGAAUUAAGGUGUGUACUGAGCACACUGAGCACUCUAAGAGCCGAGACAGCUUCCUGAAACGCGUGAAGGAAAAUGAUCAGAAGAAGAAAGAAGCCGAAGAGAAAGGUACGUGGGUUCAACUGAAGCGCCAGCCUGCUCCACCCAGAGAAGCAGCUUUGUGAGAAUCAACGGGAAGGAGCCCAAGCUGCUGGAACCUCUUUCCGAUGAAUUCAUGGCAUCAUAGGUGUUAAAAAAACACAAGACCUCUGGACUAUAAAAUGUUUCUCUUCAUUGAGUAGAAGUGUGGCAUCCUCUCCCCCAAAGAAAUAUUUAAAGCAAAUUUUAAUUGUGUCCUAAUUCAUUAUAUAAUGUCUUUACUA
Molecule: non-coding RNA, 1047 nt
Organism: Macaca mulatta (Rhesus monkey)
Lineage: Eukaryota; Metazoa; Chordata; Mammalia; Primates; Cercopithecidae
Source: RefSeq, a predicted model, not a curated record